This 1135-nucleotide ribosomal RNA is filed under the name Lactiplantibacillus plantarum. Its description in RNAcentral is "bacterial SSU rRNA". It matches the Rfam family "Bacterial small subunit ribosomal RNA", at positions 37 to 1134 of the family's 1533-position model. Lineage: Bacteria; Bacillati; Bacillota; Bacilli; Lactobacillales; Lactobacillaceae. The record is from RNAcentral.
AAGAAGGUACUAAAUAUACAUGCAGUCGAACGACUCUGGAUAUUGAUUGGUGCUUGCAUCAUGAUUUACAUUUGAGUGAGUGGCGAACUGGUGAGUAACACGUGGGAAACCUGCCCAGAAGCGGGGGAUAACACCUGGAAACAGAUGCUAAUACCGCAUAACAACUUGGACCGCAUGGUCCGAGCUUGAAAGAUGGCUUCGGCUAUCACUUUUGGAUGGUCCCGCGGCGUAUUAGCUAGAUGGUGGGGUAACGGCUCACCAUGGCAAUGAUACGUAGCCGACCUGAGAGGGUAAUCGGCCACAUUGGGACUGAGACACGGCCCAAACUCCUACGGGAGGCAGCAGUAGGGAAUCUUCCACAAUGGACGAAAGUCUGAUGGAGCAACGCCGCGUGAGUGAAGAAGGGUUUCGGCUCGUAAAACUCUGUUGUUAAAGAAGAACAUAUCUGAGAGUAACUGUUCAGGUAUUGACGGUAUUUAACCAGAAAGCCACGGCUAACUACGUGCCAGCAGCCGCGGUAAUACGUAGGUGGCAAGCGUUGUCCGGAUUUAUUGGGCGUAAAGCGAGCGCAGGCGGUUUUUUAAGUCUGAUGUGAAAGCCUUCGGCUCAACCGAAGAAGUGCAUCGGAAACUGGGAAACUUGAGUGCAGAAGAGGACAGUGGAACUCCAUGUGUAGCGGUGAAAUGCGUAGAUAUAUGGAAGAACACCAGUGGCGAAGGCGGCUGUCUGGUCUGUAACUGACGCUGAGGCUCGAAAGUAUGGGUAGCAAACAGGAUUAGAUACCCUGGUAGUCCAUACCGUAAACGAUGAAUGCUAAGUGUUGGAGGGUUUCCGCCCUUCAGUGCUGCAGCUAACGCAUUAAGCAUUCCGCCUGGGGAGUACGGCCGCAAGGCUGAAACUCAAAGGAAUUGACGGGGGCCCGCACAAGCGGUGGAGCAUGGGGGUUUAAUUCGAAGCUACGCGAAGAACCUUACCAGGUCUUGACAUACUAUGCAAAUCUAAGAGAUUAGACGUUCCCUUCGGGGACAUGGAUACAGGUGGGGGCAUGGUUGUCGUCAGCUCGGGCCGGGAAAUGUUGGGUUAAGUCCCCCAACAAGCGCAACCCUUUAUAUUCAGUUGCCACCAUUAAAUUUGG